AGCGCCUAACACAUCGCAAGUCGAACCGAGGUCCAACCUUCGGGUGAAGACCGAGUGGCGAACGGGUGAGUAACACGUGGGGAACCUGCCCUUCUCUCUGGGAUAACGUCGAGAAAUCGGUGCUAAUACCGGAUACUCCUUGCGGAUCGCAUGGUCUGCUCGGGAAAGCUCCGGCGGAGAGGGAUGGCCCCGCGGCCCAUUAGCUAGUUGGUGAGGUAAUGGCCCACCAAGGCGACGAUGGGUAGCCGAGCUGAGAGGCUGAUCGGCCACACUGGGACUGAGACACGGCCCAGACUCCUACGGGAGGCAGCAGUGGGGAAUUUUGCACAAUGGGCGAAACCUGAUGCAGCAACGCCGCGUGCGGAUGAAGGCCCUCGGGUUGUAAACCGCUUUCAGCAGGGACGAAUAUGACGGUACUGCAGAGAAGCCCGGCUAACUACGUGCCAGCAGCCGCGGUAAU
Molecule: ribosomal RNA, 460 nt
Filed under: uncultured Actinomycetes bacterium
Lineage: Bacteria; Bacillati; Actinomycetota; Actinomycetes
Description: bacterial SSU rRNA
Rfam family: Bacterial small subunit ribosomal RNA
Source: RNAcentral